Triticum urartu is the source of this 116-nucleotide non-coding RNA. The record is from Rfam. NCBI's taxonomy places the organism in Eukaryota, Viridiplantae, Streptophyta, Magnoliopsida, Poales, Poaceae.
CUAUUACUCCCUCUGUCCCAAAUUACUUGUCGCAAGAAUGGAUGUAUCUAGACAUAUUUUUAGGUCUAGAUACAUCCAUUUCUACGACAAAUAAUUCAGGACGGAAGGAGUGCUAA